GAUGAACGCUGGCGGCGUGCCUAAUACAUGCAAGUCGAGCGAACAGACGAGGAGCUUGCUCCUCUGACGUUAGCGGCGGACGGGUGAGUAACACGUGGAUAACCUACCUAUAAGACUGGGAUAACUUCGGGAAACCGGAGCUAAUACCGGAUAAUAUAUUGAACCGCAUGGUUCAAUAGUGAAAGACGGUUUUGCUGUCACUUAUAGAUGGAUCCGCGCCGCAUUAGCUAGUUGGUAAGGUAACGGCUUACCAAGGCAACGAUGCGUAGCCGACCUGAGAGGGUGAUCGGCCACACUGGAACUGAGACACGGUCCAGACUCCUACGGGAGGCAGCAGUAGGGAAUCUUCCGCAAUGGGCGAAAGCCUGACGGAGCAACGCCGCGUGAGUGAUGAAGGUCUUCGGAUCCUAAAACUCUGUUAUUAGGGAAGAACAAAUGUGUAAGUAACUAUGCGCGUCUUGACGGUACCUAAUCAGAAAGCCACGGCUAACUACGUG
This 497-nucleotide ribosomal RNA is filed under the name uncultured bacterium. Its description in RNAcentral is "partial 16S ribosomal RNA". It matches the Rfam family "Bacterial small subunit ribosomal RNA", at positions 28 to 507 of the family's 1533-position model. The record is from RNAcentral.